Molecule: ribosomal RNA, 441 nt
Filed under: Alexandromenia crassa
Lineage: Eukaryota; Metazoa; Mollusca; Solenogastres; Cavibelonia; Amphimeniidae
Description: partial 16S ribosomal RNA
Rfam family: Bacterial large subunit ribosomal RNA
Source: RNAcentral
UCAACGGCCGCGGUAUCCUAACCGUGCUAAGGUAGCAUAAUCAAUUGUUCUCUAAUUAAGGACCUGUAUGAACGGUUUGACGUGGGCUAACCUGUCUCUAUGUUACUGCCUAUAAAUUAAUCUUAAAGUGAAAAAGCUUUAAUACUCUAAAAAGACAAAAAGACCCUAUAGAGCUUUAUUUCUAAUAGAAGAUAUAUCUUCUCACCCUAAAAAGAAAUUUGGUUGGGGCAACCAGAGUUUUUAAUAACUCUCACCCAAAUAACAAAUCAGUAAAACUUUAUCACACCUUAGCAUAAAAAACCAAGUUACCUUAGGGAUAACAGCGUUCUCCUCUUUUAGAGCCCAAAUCGAAAAGAGGGCUUACGACCUCGAUGUUGGAUUAAAGAACUUUAAGGCGUAAAAUCCUUAAUCAGUUGGUCUGUUCGACCAUUAAUUCUUUAC